Molecule: transfer RNA, 77 nt
Filed under: Sulfitobacter litoralis
Lineage: Bacteria; Pseudomonadati; Pseudomonadota; Alphaproteobacteria; Rhodobacterales; Roseobacteraceae
Also listed under: 1 other name
Description: tRNA-Lys
Rfam family: tRNA
About the family: Transfer RNA (tRNA) molecules are approximately 80 nucleotides in length. Their secondary structure includes four short double-helical elements and three loops (D, anti-codon, and T loops).
Source: RNAcentral
GGACCGUUAGCUUAGUUGGCCUAAAGCAAGGGACUUUUAAUCUCUGAUCCUGGGUUCGAAUCCCAGACGGUUCUCCA